RNAcentral lists this ribosomal RNA (484 nucleotides) under uncultured bacterium. Its description in RNAcentral is "partial 16S ribosomal RNA". It matches the Rfam family "Bacterial small subunit ribosomal RNA", at positions 30 to 507 of the family's 1533-position model. The record is from RNAcentral.
AUUGAACGCUGGCGGCAGGCCUAACACAUGCAAGUCGAGCGGAUGAAGGGAGCUUGCUCCUGGUUUCAGCGGCGGACGGGUGAGUAAUGCCUAGGAAUCUGCCUGGUUGUGGGGGAUAACGUCCGGAAACGGGCGCUAAUACCGCAUACGUCCUGAGGGAGAAAGUGGGGGAUCUUCGGAACUCACGCUCUCAGAUGAGCCUAGGUCGGAUUAGCUAGUUGGUGGGGUAAAGGCCUGCCAAGGCGACGAUCCGUAACUGGUCUGAGAGGAUGAUCAGUCACACUGGAACUGAGACACGGUCCAGACUCCUACGGUAGGCAGCAGUGGGGAAUAUUGGACAAUGGGCGAAAGCCUGAUCCAGCCAUGCCGCGUGUGUGAAGAAGGUCUUCGGAUUGUAAAGCACGUUAAGUUGGGAGGAAGGGCAGUAAGUUAAUACCUUGCUGUUUUGACGUUACCAACAGAAUAAGCACCGGCUAACUUCGUG